Non-coding RNA from Merluccius polli (Benguela hake), 67 nucleotides. Lineage: Eukaryota; Metazoa; Chordata; Actinopteri; Gadiformes; Merlucciidae. The record is from the annotation of a GenBank genome assembly.
UAGUCUACUGGUCUGGGUGUUUGACUCCCAGCCGAAAGGUUCUGGGUUCAAACCCCAGCGUCCGCCA